Molecule: ribosomal RNA, 487 nt
Filed under: Salmonella enterica subsp. enterica serovar Javiana
Lineage: Bacteria; Pseudomonadati; Pseudomonadota; Gammaproteobacteria; Enterobacterales; Enterobacteriaceae
Description: partial 23S ribosomal RNA
Rfam family: Bacterial large subunit ribosomal RNA
Source: RNAcentral
CAUAAGCCAGCUUGACUGCGAGCGUGACGGCGCGAGCAGGUGCGAAAGCAGGUCAUAGUGAUCCGGUGGUUCUGAAUGGAAGGGCCAUCGCUCAACGGAUAAAAGGUACUCCGGGGAUAACAGGCUGAUACCGCCCAAGAGUUCAUAUCGACGGCGGUGUUUGGCACCUCGAUGUCGGCUCAUCACAUCCUGGGGCUGAAGUAGGUCCCAAGGGUAUGGCUGUUCGCCAUUUAAAGUGGUACGCGAGCUGGGUUUAGAACGUCGUGAGACAGUUCGGUCCCUAUCUGCCGUGGGCGCUGGAGAACUGAGGGGGGCUGCUCCUAGUACGAGAGGACCGGAGUGGACGCAUCACUGGUGUUCGGGUUGUCAUGCCAAUGGCACUGCCCGGUAGCUAAAUGCGGAAGAGAUAAGUGCUGAAAGCAUCUAAGCACGAAACUUGCCCCGAGAUGAGUUCUCCCUGAGACUUUAAGUCUCCUGAAGGAACGUU